CAAUAGCGUAUAUUAAAGUUGUUGCGGUUAAAAAGCUCGUAGUUGGAUUUCUGUCAGUGAGUGAGGCUCCGCCCACCGUGGUGUGUAGUCCUCAUACCGCUGGCAUCUUCUUGGGGAGUGUAUCUGCACUUCACUGUGUGGUGCACAAGCCAGGACUUUUACUUUGAGGAAAUGAGAGUGUUUCAAGCAGGCGCACGCCCUGAAUACGUUAGCAUGGAAUAAUUUAAUAGGACUCUGGUGCUAUUUUGUUGGUUUCGAACACCGGAGUAAUGAUUAAAAGGGGCAGUCAGGGGCACUCGUAUUCCGUCGAGAGAGGUGAAAUUCUCAGACCAAUGGAAGACGAACCACUGCGAAAGCAUUUGCCAGGGAUGUUUUCACUGAUCAAGAACGAAAGUUAGGGGAUCGAAGACGAUUAGAU
RNAcentral lists this ribosomal RNA (418 nucleotides) under uncultured eukaryote. RNAcentral describes it as "bacterial SSU rRNA". It matches the Rfam family "Eukaryotic small subunit ribosomal RNA", at positions 592 to 1013 of the family's 1831-position model. The record is from RNAcentral.